AUUGAACGCUGGCGGCAGGCCUAACACAUGCAAGUCGAGCGGAUGAAGGGAGCUUGCUCCUGGAUUCAGCGGCGGACGGGUGAGUAAUGCCUAGGAAUCUGCCUGGUAGUGGGGGAUAACGUCCAGAAACGGGCGCUAAUACCGCAUACGUCCUGAGGGAGAAAGUGGGGGAUCUUCGGACCUCACGCUAUCAGAUGAGCCUAGGUCGGAUUAGCUAGUUGGUGGGGUAAAGGCCUACCAAGGCGACGAUCCGUAACUGGUCUGAGAGGAUGAUCAGUCACACUGGAACUGAGACACGGUCCAGACUCCUACGGGAGGCAGCAGUGGGGAAUAUUGGACAAUGGGCGAAAGCCUGAUCCAGCCAUGCCGCGUGUGUGAAGAAGGUCUUCGGAUUGUAAAGCACCUUAAGUUGGGAGGAAGGGCAGUAAGUUAAUACCUUGCUGUUUUGACGUUACCAACAGAAUAAGCACCGGCUAACUUCGUG
RNAcentral lists this ribosomal RNA (484 nucleotides) under uncultured bacterium. RNAcentral's name for it is "partial 16S ribosomal RNA". It matches the Rfam family "Bacterial small subunit ribosomal RNA", at positions 30 to 507 of the family's 1533-position model. The record is from RNAcentral.